Molecule: ribosomal RNA, 253 nt
Filed under: uncultured bacterium
Lineage: Bacteria
Description: partial 16S ribosomal RNA
Rfam family: Bacterial small subunit ribosomal RNA
Source: RNAcentral
UACGAAGGGGGCUAGCGUUGCUCGGAAUCACUGGGCGUAAAGCGCACGUAGGCGGGUCUCUAAGGCAGGGGUGAAAUCCUGGAGCUCAACUCCAGAACUGCCUUUGAUACUGGGGAUCUCGAGUCCGGGAGAGGUGAGUGGAACUCCGAGUGUAGAGGUGAAAUUCGUAGAUAUUCGGAAGAACACCAGUGGCGAAGGCGGCUCACUGGCCCGGUACUGACGCUGAGGUGCGAAAGCGUGGGGAGCAAACAGG